CGACUUAAACAGGUAAGCCGACUGUUGGCGCCGCAUCGAGCUAGUUUAAUUAAUUCUCGGAUGGGAUACACCUAUUGUUAAUAAAAAAGGUUAAUCUUUCUGGGAAUUUUGUUGUAUUGAUUGCUAGAGAUAGUAUUAUUUCUGUAAGUAAUGAACGACUAUUAUACGAAGAUAUUGGAACCAUCCCAGGUUUAUUGAGUUCGAAACUAUAAGUAAUAGUGUUCAUCGAUCUACGUUAGACGAACUAUCCUUUUAUGUUGGAGAAAAUACACCGGAGAGUAAUUUAAAGCAGAUCGCAACGCUCAUUCAAGCGGAGCGCCACGGGCGUCGCUACCUGCUGUCGUAAUCGACUAUCAAGUGUCAAAUAAAAUUACUUUGGGCAAUUGAACUGGUAAAAAAUACACUUGUUUACGAGAACCGUCUUCAUAUCCUCUCAGAUCUAUCAUGUACGUUAUUAAAUAAAAUAUUACGGAUAACUUACCGAAGCCCUCUGAAUCACUGGCAGGGUAUGCGGGGCACGGUUGCACCAUAGUUGCCGCACGUGAUAACACGUCAAGAGCCGAUUCCACCUUCUCCAUUUUUAACUGAAACGUAAAGAACUUAGUAAGUUUUUACUAUACUUUAUAUUGAACUGUUUGACUUUGUGAAUACUUUGUGAAUAAUUUAAUAACUUAACUUUAAUACAUAUUUGAAAUUCAUUAUGAGGAUAUUGGGUCUAAUUGGAAUAGUAAUAGGUGAAGUACCUACAGAAAGUUGUCGAAAAGGAAAUAAUGAAGUUGAUGCCGCGGGCAACAACUAGUUAUGGAAUAAAGACUAAAUUUACUUUCUAUAUGAAUAAAUUAAGGCUUACGAUUGUCAUGAGCGUUAUGUGCAAUGUGGAAAGCCUGCAUACCAUAUGAAAGAAACGAUUGACGAUAACAUAAGUGUUGCUAAUAGUAUCUAUUGUAGUUACGCUCAACAAGAAUGUUCAUAUACGCAUAAAAUUUACUUAAAGUGUCUACCUAUACACUUCCCCUCAUUACAAUGCGACGAGUUUUUGCGCCAAUUCCGCAAAGAGCAUUCGCGGACAGAGCAAGGAAUUCAUGUCUGCGCACGUAAAAAUAUUUGGCGCGCAGAAUGAAUGUCGCCGUGAAAUCAUAAGACGAUAUGCAAAUACCAAAGCGGAAAUUCUUCGAGCCAUGUAAACGGCUAGACAUUGGACAGACGUAGUUGUAAAGCGCAAAUGAUUGUACCAAGAUUCCAAUAGUUACCAUAGGCUUGGGAAUCAAGCCAAUGUUUGAGUGGUGCUGCUCUGAUGAAAUGUAACUAACUACGUGACGAUGACAUAAAAUGCUUUAUAGAGGGACACAUGUUCGAUUGCUAAAUCAUGUUUUAUAAAUACUAGCUGCGCGACCGAGUUUCUCUCGUGAGAUUAGGCCCGAAUCUGACGAGAUGUCAACAGAUUUGUUGAGAACUCUUCAGUGUGUCUUGUAACAUGUUUUAAAUUUUUAAGGCUAAUAUAAUAGUUGAUCAAUCAAAUCGAUAAUCUUAAUGCGAUGCAUCAUUAACAGAGGAACAUCGGAAUUUGUAUUGGAUGCCACGUUCAGUGGCAGAAUAAAGA
Molecule: long non-coding RNA, 1600 nt
Organism: Colias croceus (clouded yellow)
Lineage: Eukaryota; Metazoa; Arthropoda; Insecta; Lepidoptera; Pieridae
Exons: 3
Source: RefSeq, a predicted model, not a curated record